UACGGGAGGCAGCAGGGGGAAUAUUGCACAAUGGGCGCAAGCCUGAUGCAGCCAUGCCGCGUGUAUGAAGAAGGCCUUCGGGUUGUAAAGUACUUUCAGUCGUGAGGAAGGUGUUAAGGUUAAUAACCUUAGCAAUUGACGUUAGCGACAGAAGAAGCACCGGCUAACUCCGUGCCAGCAGCCGCGGUAAUACGGAGGGUGCGAGCGUUAAUCGGAAUUACUGGGCGUAAAGGGCACGCAGGCGGUUAAUUAAGUUGGAUGUGAAAUCCCCGGGCUUAACCUGGGAAUGGCAUUCAAGACUGGUUAGCUAGAGUCUUGUAGAGGGGGUAGAAUUCCAUGUGUAGCGGUGAAAUGCGUAGAGAUGUGGAGGAAUACCGGUGGCGAAGGCGGCCCCUGGCAAAGACUGACGCUCAUGUGCGAAAGCGUGGGGAGCGAAACAGGGAUUAGAUACC
RNAcentral lists this ribosomal RNA (452 nucleotides) under uncultured bacterium. RNAcentral describes it as "bacterial SSU rRNA". It matches the Rfam family "Bacterial small subunit ribosomal RNA", at positions 340 to 786 of the family's 1533-position model. The record is from RNAcentral.